Molecule: ribosomal RNA, 171 nt
Filed under: uncultured bacterium
Lineage: Bacteria
Description: partial 16S ribosomal RNA
Source: RNAcentral
UAUUACCGCGGCUGCUGGCACGAAGUUAGCCGGGGCUUAUUCCUCCGGUACCGUCAUUAUCGUCCCGGAUAAAAGAGCUUUACAACCCUAAGGCCUUCAUCACUCACGCGGCAUGGCUGGAUCAGGCUUGCGCCCAUUGUCCAAUAUUCCCCACUGCUGCCUCCCGUAGGA